UACGUAGGGUGCAAGCGUUAUCCGGAAUUAUUGGGCGUAAAGAGCUCGUAGGUGGUUUGUCGCGUCUGCUGUGAAAACUGGAGGCUCAACCUCCAGCCUGCAGUGGGUACGGGCAGACUAGAGUGCGGUAGGGGAGAUUGGAAUUCCUGGUGUAGCGGUGGAAUGCGCAGAUAUCAGGAGGAACACCGAUGGCGAAGGCAGGAGUCUCUG
Molecule: ribosomal RNA, 210 nt
Filed under: uncultured bacterium
Lineage: Bacteria
Description: partial 16S ribosomal RNA
Rfam family: Bacterial small subunit ribosomal RNA
Source: RNAcentral